UAGCAAUAUUAGGACUGCUAAAUUCAAUUACGGCGACUUUCCCGCUUCCGGAUUCAUUACGGCCAUAAUUUUCGCGUUGCUCCCAGAUAAUAGGUAAGAUUAAUUUUGUAAGUGAGGGACCAUUAAAAUUAAAUCUCAAGAAAAUCCCGUUAGCUGUAACUUCCACUAGAUCCUUAGGGAAUGCCUCAGCCCACUUCUGAGCCAAUUCCUGAGGUUUCCCUUUCACACGCAGACGGGGAACUGGCAAAUUGAGAUCAGCAGAAUCUUUGCUGAUUGAAGUUUCGAGAGCUGGAUAGAUUAGAGAAACAUCAACCCCAUUGAUUUUUGACAACUCCGAGGAAAUGUAGCUGCGAUAAACAUCAACAGGAUUAUGAUGAAUAUCUGCUUCCCUGAAAACAGGAAGAUCUUGCAAACCAAGAGUACUUAAACUUUUGGAAAUUUGAUCAACAGAAGUUGCCAUUUUCGUUUCAAACUUAUUUAACAGUGAGAUCUGGCGACGAGGAACUUUGAGAAGUGGGAUAUUUGAACGAAGUGAAAAUUUCAAGCCAGCACAAGAUCUAACAGACCAAGAUA
Non-coding RNA from Schizosaccharomyces pombe (fission yeast), 573 nucleotides. The record is from the annotation of a GenBank genome assembly. NCBI's taxonomy places the organism in Eukaryota, Fungi, Ascomycota, Schizosaccharomycetes, Schizosaccharomycetales, Schizosaccharomycetaceae.